GACGUUUAGCUUGCAGAAGAAGCACCGGCUAACUCCGUGCCAGCAGCCGCGGUAAUACGGAGGGUGCGAGCGUUAAUCGGAAUUACUGGGCGUAAAGCGCAUGCAGGUGGUUUGUUAAGUCAGAUGUGAAAGCCCGGGGCUCAACCUCGGAAUUUGCAUUUUGAAACUGGCAAACUAGAGUACUGUAGAGGGGGGUAGAAUUUCAGGUGUAGCGGUGAAAUGCGUAGAGAUCUGAAGGAAUACCGGUGGCGAAGGCGGCCCCCUGGACAGAUACUGACACUCAGAUGCGAAAGCGUGGGGAGCAAACAGGAUUAGAUACCCUCGUAG
Molecule: ribosomal RNA, 327 nt
Filed under: uncultured bacterium
Lineage: Bacteria
Description: bacterial SSU rRNA
Rfam family: Bacterial small subunit ribosomal RNA
Source: RNAcentral